This 253-nucleotide ribosomal RNA is filed under the name uncultured bacterium. Its description in RNAcentral is "partial 16S ribosomal RNA". It matches the Rfam family "Bacterial small subunit ribosomal RNA", at positions 524 to 776 of the family's 1533-position model. The record is from RNAcentral.
UACGAACUGUGCGAACGUUAUUCGGAAUCACUGGGCUUACAGGGUGCGUAGGCGGCUUGUUAAGUAGGGUGUGAAAGCCCCCGGCUCAACCGGGGAAUGGCGCCCUAAACUGGCGAGCUAGAGUGAGAUAGGGGUGUGUGGAACUUCCGGUGGAGCGGUGAAAUGUGUUGAUAUCGGAAGGAACGCCGGUGGCGAAAGCGACACACUGGAUCUUGUCUGACGCUGAGGAGCGAAAGCCAGGGGAGCAAACGGG